UACAGAGGGUGCAAGCGUUUGUUCGGAAUUAUUGGGCGUAAAGGGCGCGUAGGCGGUGCGGUAAGUCUGUAGUGAAAUCUCUGGCUCAACUCAGAGUCUGCUGCAGAAACUGCCGUGCUUGAGUGUGGGAGAGGUGAGUGGAAUUCCCGGUGUAGCGGUGAAAUGCGUAGAUAGUCGGGAGGAACACCUGUGGCGAAAGCGGCUCACUGGACCACAACUGACGCUGAGGCGCGAAAGCGUGGGGAGCAAACAGGG
RNAcentral lists this ribosomal RNA (255 nucleotides) under uncultured bacterium. RNAcentral's name for it is "partial 16S ribosomal RNA". It matches the Rfam family "Bacterial small subunit ribosomal RNA", at positions 524 to 777 of the family's 1533-position model. The record is from RNAcentral.